RNAcentral lists this ribosomal RNA (490 nucleotides) under uncultured bacterium. Its description in RNAcentral is "partial 16S ribosomal RNA". It matches the Rfam family "Bacterial small subunit ribosomal RNA", at positions 29 to 505 of the family's 1533-position model. The record is from RNAcentral.
AGUGAACGCUGGCGGUAGGCCUAACACAUGCAAGUCGAACGGCAGCACAGUAAGAGCUUGCUCUUACGGGUGGCGAGUGGCGGACGGGUGAGGAAUACAUCGGAAUCUACUUUUUCGUGGGGGAUGACGUAGGGAAACUUACGCUAAUACCGCAUACGACCUACGGGUGAAAGCAGGGGAUCUUCGGACCUCGCGCGAUUGAAUGAGCCGAUGUCGGAUUAGCUAGUUGGCGGGGUAAAGGCCCACCAAGGCGACGAUCCGUAGCUGGUCUGAGAGGAUGAUCAGCCACACUGGAACUGAGACACGGUCCAGACUCCUACGGGAGGCAGCAGUGGGGAAUAUUGGACAAUGGGCGCAAGCCUGAUCCAGCCAUACCGCGUGGGUGAAGAAGGCCUUCGGGUUGUAAAGCCCUUUUGUUGGGAAAGAAAAGCAGCAGGUUAAUACCCCGCUGUUCUGACGGUACCCAAAGAAUAAGCACCGGCUAACUUCG